This 1284-nucleotide ribosomal RNA is filed under the name uncultured organism. RNAcentral's name for it is "bacterial SSU rRNA". It matches the Rfam family "Bacterial small subunit ribosomal RNA", at positions 157 to 1454 of the family's 1533-position model. The record is from RNAcentral.
UUCGGAUUAAUACUCCAUAAUACUGCGAGAAGGCAUCUUUUUUCAGUUAAAGCUUCGGCGGUCAGAGAUGGGCAUGCGUAACAUUAGCUGGUUGGUGAGGUAACAGCUCACCAAGGCUACGAUGUUUAGGGGGUCUGAGAGGAUGGGCUCCCACACUGGUACUGAGACACGGACCAGACUCCUACGGGAGGCAGCAGUGAGGAAUAUUGGUCAAUGGGCGAAAGCCUGAACCAGCCAUGCCGCGUGAAGGAUGACGGCCCUAUGGGUUGUAAACUUCUUUUAUACGGGAAGAAACCCCUCUACGUGUAGGGGGCUGACGGUACCGUACGAAUAAGCAUCGGCUAACUCCGUGCCAGCAGCCGCGGUAAUACGGAGGAUGCAAGCGUUAUCCGGAUUUAUUGGGUUUAAAGGGUGCGUAGGCGGAAAAUUAAGUCAGUGGUGAAAUCCUGCAGCUUAACUGUAGAAUUGUCAUUGAUACUGGUUUUCUUGAAUACAGUUGAGGUAGGCGGAAUGAGUAAUGUAGCGGUGAAAUGCUUAGAUAUUACUCAGAACACCAAUUGCGAAGGCAGCUUACUAAACUGUGAUUGACGCUGAGGCACGAAAGCGUGGGGAGCGAACAGGAUUAGAUACCCUGGUAGUCCACGCCGUAAACGAUGAUCACUCGUUGUUGGCAAUACACCGUCAGCGACUGAGCGAAAGUAUUAAGUGAUCCACCUGGGGAGUACGAUUGCAAGAUUGAAACUCAAAGGAAUUGACGGGGGCCCGCACAAGCGGAGGAACAUGUGGUUUAAUUCGAUGAUACGCGAGGAACCUUACCUGGGCUUAAAUGCAUAACGACGGAUCGGGAAACUGGUCUUUCUUCGGACGGAAUGCAAGGUGCUGCAUGGCUGUCGUCAGCUCGUGCCGUGAGGUGUCGGGUUAAGUCCCAUAACGAGCGCAACCCUCAUCAUUAGUUGCCAGCGGGUAAUGCCGGGGACUCUAAUGAAACUGCCGGUGUAAACCGAGAGGAAGGCGAGGAUGACGUCAAGUCAGCACGGCCCUUAUGUCCAGGGCUACACACGUGUUACAAUGGUCAGUACAAAGGGCAGCUACCAGGCAACUGGAUGCUAAUCUCAAAAGCUGGUCACAGUUCGGAUCGGAGUCUGCAACUCGACUUCGUGAAGUUGGAUUCGCUAGUAAUCGCGCAUCAGCCAUGGCGCGGUGAAUACGUUCCCGGGCCUUGUACACACCGCCCGUCAAGCCAUGGAAGCCGGGGGUACCUGAAGUUCGUAACCGAGAGGAUCG